This is a transfer RNA of 83 nucleotides. It matches the Rfam family "tRNA". Rfam says of the family: Transfer RNA (tRNA) molecules are approximately 80 nucleotides in length. Their secondary structure includes four short double-helical elements and three loops (D, anti-codon, and T loops). Further hydrogen bonds mediate the characteristic L-shaped molecular structure. tRNAs have two regions of fundamental functional importance: the anti-codon, which is responsible for specific mRNA codon recognition, and the 3' end, to which the tRNAs corresponding amino acid is attached (by aminoacyl-tRNA synthetases). tRNAs cope with the degeneracy of the genetic code in two manners: having more than one tRNA (with a specific anti-codon) for a particular amino acid; and 'wobble' base-pairing, i.e. permitting non-standard base-pairing at the 3rd anti-codon position.
GCUCCCUUAGCUCAGUGGUAGAGCGCGUCACUUGUACGACCAUGUAUAUGACGAGGUCGUUCGUUCGAUCCGGGCAGGGAGCU